AGAGAAGGGUGUCCCAGAUGUAGGCAAAGCGUCCUCCAUGUGUUCCUGGAGGACCGUCCCAAGUCCUUCUCCAUUCUCCCAACCUCUUGGGCCUGGUCCCAUUCCAGGUCUUGCCCAAGUCUUUCUGAUUGGUGGGACUUAAAUCACACCCAAAAUUCCAGCUGCAGGAGAGCUCUGAGAUUUCAUCUUUCCAACCUCUGUGUGCUACGUGGGGGUUGGAGCACUUGCUGACAAGCCUUGCAACCACCAUUGACAGGAUGUCCUCCACCUUUUCAAUCUGAUUUGCUCUUUGCCAUGCAGACCUGUGGAUGAAGAGCCAGAGUCCUCCAAGGUGAAGCUGGACUGAAUAUUUCUGUCCAUAAGACUAUUAGAAUCCCCCAAAGUGGGAUACCAGUGAGGACCUCACCAGCAGCUGCUGUCUCUCCAAUGCAGAGCUUCCUGCCUCCUGCCCAGCCCCUGCUGUCAGAGAUACUUGGUGCUUCCAGUUCUGGAGACUUCCUUGAGUUCUGUGACUCAAAACAACUUCCUUCCCCUGUGGGCAUCAACAAUGAGAGAUCUUCAGAUGCGAUCAGGCACUCCAGUCCUUCCAUCUCCCACAAUGUUGGAGACCUGUGUUCCCUGCUGUAGAAACCUCUGCCAUUCCCUUUAUCUCUGAAGACAGAUGGACUUGACUGUCAGCUUAGCUUGGUUUCAGGAGGAAAGGAAGAUAAACCCCUGUGUUUAAGCUGCCGUGUUAAAUGGGAGGCACCUGGUCUUUUUUCUUUUUCUUUUUUAAAGACUGGGUCUCGCUCUGUUAUCCAAGCUGCAGUGCAGUGAUGUGAUCAUAGCUCACCUCAGCCUUGAACUCUCAGGCUCAAGCGAUCCUCCAGCCUCAGCCUCCUGAAUUGCUGGGAUUAUAGCACCUGGCCAAUUUUAAAAUCUUUCUGUAGCGACAGGAUCUCACUAUGUUGCCCAGGCUGGUCUUGAACCCCUGGCCUCAAGGAAUUCUCCCACAACCUCCCAAAGUGCUAAGAUUACAGGCAAGAGCCAUGGUGCCCAGCCACCUCUGGUCUUCCCUCAGUUUGCUUUCAUUAAAGGACAAACACAUGCCUUGCAAAA
RNAcentral lists this long non-coding RNA (1098 nucleotides) under Homo sapiens (human). RNAcentral's name for it is "uncharacterized LOC339260, transcript variant 3 (LOC339260)". The record is from RNAcentral. Lineage: Eukaryota; Metazoa; Chordata; Mammalia; Primates; Hominidae.